UCCGGUUUGGCACCGGCAGUCCCCCGAGAGUCCUCGCCAUUACGCGUUAGCAACACGGGGCGGGGGUUGCGCUCGUUGCGGGACUUAACCCAACAUCUCACGACACGGGCUGACGACAGCCAUGCAGCACCUGUGCACGAGCUCCGAAGAGGGGCCACUGUUUCCAGCGGCUUUCCCGUGCAUGUCAAGCCUAGGUAAGGUUCUGCGCGUUGCGUCGAAUUAAACCACAUGCUCCACCGCUUGUGCGGGCCCCCGUCAAUUCCCUUGAGUUUCAGUCUUGCGACCGUACUCCCCAGGCGGAAUGCUUAAUGUGUUAACUUCGGCACCAAGGGUAUCGAAACCCCUAACACCUAGCAUUCAUCGUUUACGGCGUGGACUAC
RNAcentral lists this unclassified non-coding RNA (380 nucleotides) under uncultured bacterium. RNAcentral describes it as "contains 16S-23S intergenic spacer region". The record is from RNAcentral.